RNAcentral lists this ribosomal RNA (305 nucleotides) under uncultured bacterium. RNAcentral's name for it is "bacterial SSU rRNA". It matches the Rfam family "Bacterial small subunit ribosomal RNA", at positions 334 to 635 of the family's 1533-position model. The record is from RNAcentral.
GUUUCCUACGGGAGGCAGCAGUGAGGAAUAUUGGUCAAUGGGCGAGAGCCUGAACCAGCCAAGUCGCGUGAAGGAUGACGGCCCUACGGGUUGUAAACUUCUUUUGUCAGGGAGCAAUUGGGUCCACGCGUGGGCUUAGCGAGAGUACCUGAAGAAAAAGCAUCGGCUAACUCCGUGCCAGCAGCCGCGGUAAUACGGAGGGUGCGAGCGUUAAUCGGAAUUACUGGGCGUAAAGCGCUCGUAGGCGGUAUGUCAAGUCAAGGGUGAAAUCCCCGCGCUCAACGUGGGAACUGCCUUUGAAACUG